UAGAUUAAAGCUCGCUGGAUAGAGUGUUUAGCUGUUAACUAAAGUGUUACGGGAUCGAGGCCCGUUAUUCUAG
Molecule: transfer RNA, 73 nt
Filed under: Anomaloglossus surinamensis
Lineage: Eukaryota; Metazoa; Chordata; Amphibia; Anura; Aromobatidae
Description: tRNA-Asn
Source: RNAcentral